AACAAGCAUUUCCCCUGCAACCAGAUCAACUUUAGGUUUCUGUAUUACUCUUUGUGUUACUACUGCAAUCAUAGUUUACCUGUUGUGACUCGUUUUCUCUGCCCUCCGGAAAUUCCCCUUAACAUCUCAUUUCCUACUAAAGUGUCGGCGCAGAUAUCAAGCCCCAAGAUCUUAAGAACGUAUUCUGUAACAACGUUUACUUCGUCUCCUUCCGUGGCAGCUGCCUACAUUAUCACAAAUCAGACCGGUAUAGUAAUAUUAAGACAGCAAUAACAGCCAUAUGCAUCAUAAAUUUUAUGUAUUUACCUUCAUGAAUAUAUCAAUGUCAGGAUCCGGCUUAAUGUUUGCUACUUUCUCUCUUCUUGACAGUUCUGCCAGCAUAUCUGUCCGAGCCAUACGUGACCACAAAAACAGUAAGUCGACAUUUUAAUAAGUUUGAUUACAUAGAGAUUUUUACAAACCAUAUCGCGAGCCAACUCCCUGGCAUCUGGCCGAAAAUGCCAAGGUUUCUUUAACUGUCAAUUCUCCUAAAUGAAUAUCAUGUUGGCUAAUAUAUGAUGCAGUUUUUUCAGGUAUAAAUUCGUCCAAUCCGUGUCCAUUGUACGUCACUCUUCCUGAAACCUGCUCAAGCAUGUCAAUUAGAAUCAUGUUGAUCUUGAACAAGUGAGGUAGAGAAACUGGAAUUCAUAAUGCAAUUGAUGCUACUUUUAGAUCAGAGUCGAGCCUUCCAGCCAAAGCCUGCAAGAACGUGG
Molecule: long non-coding RNA, 752 nt
Filed under: Salvia miltiorrhiza (redroot sage)
Lineage: Eukaryota; Viridiplantae; Streptophyta; Magnoliopsida; Lamiales; Lamiaceae
Description: long non-coding RNA (SMIL_LNC008118)
Source: RNAcentral